Sus scrofa (pig) is the source of this 109-nucleotide non-coding RNA. The record is from Rfam. Lineage: Eukaryota; Metazoa; Chordata; Mammalia; Artiodactyla; Suidae.
AUCCUGGUGGUCUAGUGGUUAAGGACUCAGCACUGUCACUGCUGUGGCUCAGGUUACUGUUGUGGCACAGGUUCCUGUUGUGGCACAGGUUCGAUCCCUGGCUGGGGAA